GAGGAACUUUUGUGUUUCCUUCCCCUUCAGGGACAAACACGAGGAGAGGGUAUUCUGAAAGCCCUUGUUACAUUUUUGGCCAAUAACAAUAUUGACUGGUCAAAUCUGUUAUCUGUGUGCACUGACCGCGCCCCAAACAUGUGAGGGAAGGAGAAGGGACUCAUAGGCCUGACGAAAGAGAGGAUAUUCCCUAAUUAGUUAUGUUUCAUUGUAUCAUUCAUCAGGAAGCACUUGUGGCUAAACUCAAAGACUGACUUACAGAAUGUGAUGCAGCAAGUCGUGCGCGUGGUGAACAUUAUUAUUGCGAGGGCACGGAAUCACCUGCAAUUCCGUGAGUUGCUGGAGGAAACCCAGACAGAAUAAGGCGACUUGAUAUUUCACAAUGAGACAAAUCCGGUCCUGCCCUCAGUGGAAGAGUUGAUCUCUUCUCCAACACAAUCUAUGAUGAGCCUGUCCUGCACUGAAGCCUACAGUAUAUACACACCUCAACUAAAGUCAAGCCUCUGAACACCUCAACUCAUCCUAUCACUGCUGUAAUCCCGUCCCAACACUGACAUACUGUGAGGACAAGCAGAGUUUCCUGCAAGACCGUGAGGAUGAUGGAGAUACGGCAGCAGGAGGACAAUUGCUUCACUUACUACAGAUCCUGGAUGUGCAGAAGGUGGUUGUCUCGCUGGUAUGGAGGGAUUCUGCUGGGUCCAGACCAUUUCAAACACAUCAACAACUCUGCCAGAAACAUCCUGGUCCAGGAGGGAUACACAUCCUCUGCAGUGAUACACACUCUCUCCCUAUUACUAAUGUGUCCAAGUUUGGCACAAGUCCACACUAAAGUAUAUAAGUUCAGUGACUUCAGUCUGAAUGUUGAACAAUGCCUUGAAAGCUGUUUGAGUUUCAUGGGAAAAUGUAAGUUUAAAUAUUUGUUUCUAAUAUCAAGCUUGAUGGGGAAUUGUUUUUGUGUUACUCGUUGUUGGAAGCUUUUGAGAAAAGCAGCAUAUACAAAGACACUAAUCUGAAAGUUGAAUGAAAACUUUCCCCUCUCCGUAUCUGAAACAAAUGCUAUUUAUGGAAAAUUGGGAUGAGACCAGGUCAGAGUGUAUUAGAUGUUCUACUCUGAGAUAAACUGGUUGUUGUUCUGUUUCCCCUCAUUUCUGUGCAAAUGAGGACUUUGAAACAGGUGUCAGGAUUGUCAUCAUUGAUUACGCUCAGGUUUGAAGAUGCUGGCACUCUAUUGUUCCUCUGGUCUGUAGUCAGUACUUUAAAGGUGCAUCAGAAAGAGCUGGGGAAAAUACUCUCAUUGUUUGGUUUUGAUUGAAUUAUCUACUUAAACAAAAAACAGUUCAUUCAGAACAUGUAUUAUUUUUUAUAACAGUUUUUAUAACAAUAACAGUUGGGCAAAUAACCAAUUGAAGAUGGUGUCCAACUUCACACUUUGUAGUCAUUAUUGCUGUUAUUAAUAUGUAAAACCCUUAGCCACGACAAGGACUUGUGUGUCUCUGAAGGAAAUGAUGCAUAACUCCUUCAGAUCCUCCAGAUCACAGUGUGUUUAUCCGCCUUUAUGACUGCUUCUCUGUUAUUGUUUUAGAGUGCAGAAUGAUAAGAACCAUUCAAUCGCAAACCAGAGGUCAUGUACAGUAUUAUGGAGUAGUGGCAGAGUGCCACUUAAUAUCUUACAUAUAAGUAGGGGAGUGGAAGCAUUUACCAUUUACUACACACUAGACCCAAAUCCCAGCCCAAACAAUACUGCCAUGAGAUGAAACAGCAUCCAAUGUCUUCUCCUAUAGCCUAGCGCGAGGACUCGCUCUUUGAAAGGAUGGAGUUGUGUAACGGCCCUGGUUUUACAAACGUGGAUCUCGACUCAGGAGCAUACUUUUGUGGCACAGUUGCUGGCGCGCUGGGCUUCGUGCCAGAACGUGCACACAAAUGGUGUGCAGUGCUUACAGCUAGGGCUGUUACUGUGACCGUCUUGCUGCCACACCGGUGGUCACGAGUUAUGACCGCAGUCAAAUUCCAUGUGAACGUUUAGUCACAUAACUAGGCUUCUCCAAACUCUGAGGCUGCUGAUGGUCAUUAGUAGCCUACCAAACUUGCUAACUGCCUGGUACUCAGCACUUUAUUGUCCCUCUAAUCACUCUGACAUCAAUGCAAAUGUUCUCAAAAAUCAAAUCAAAUACUUAAUGAGAUCCCAUGAGCUCAUGUUGCUCAACAUUUCUAUAGGUUAUGCAAUUGCAUUAGAAAACAAGAGUUUUGAUGGCCUCUAUUAAAAAGAGGAGGAUCCCAUCAGCUUUCUAUAGGCUAGGCCUACUAUAUUUAUUUCUCAACUUUCUUAAUAUGAAGCACAUUGCUUCGCUUUACAACAGGAGUAUAGCCUACCUGGCUGGCAUGAAAAUGAAUCAUGGGAAAAGCGUACUCCAUCCACUAUUUAAGUGCAUAGAUGGCAUGUAUUGUUCUGAGACAGGUGCAUGACUAUUGUCAUUAUAUAUCUAAACUCAUUUUAAACAUACAUUAUAUUAUUUAGCAUUUGUAAAGACAUUAUUACAUCAAGAAUAGUCUGAAGGGUGACAAUAUUAUCCUAUCACUUGUUAAGUGUGGGGUCCAGCUUGUGCAGUAAGACAAGAAACAGUGCAUGGCUUUUUUUGCAUCUUUUUUCACCAUAAAAAAUUGACCUUUAUAAUAAAGCAUUACAUGCAUAGUAGCAUUUGCUGUCACUUUUCAGAACAGUGUUCUCCCGCUAAUUGAUUGCAUUUUGGAACAUUUGCGCUUAAAGCCUACUGCCAUGUGCGCUUUGCCACACUUAUAAUGUGAAGAAAUAGCCAAAUAUUUUAUUCACCAUUUUAAGCUAAACGUUCUGAUGUGUUGCAUAAGCCUCAUUGCUUUUAAAAAAAUGUUUUGAUGCUAGUGGUAGUAUUAAUUUGGGAUCUAUCGCAUCCCACAACUGUCCAGAGUAUGUUUGGAAUAUUUCUUUCUCGCACAGAAUGAAAAGUUGACCAAUAGAAUAGGUCAACUUUUGUACUAUGGGGGAUAGUAGAUUGACGUAGGCUAGUGCUUUUGAUGUUUUUUAGGCCUAAUCAUGUUGUUGCACAAGAAACAAAGCAGAGCUCAUGCCCUUUGUCGUGACUUUACUUUCAUUAAUCUGAAGACUGUUAUUUAUCUAAUCAACUAACUAUGUUUUAAUUGUUACUCGAUUAAAUUAAUCAUGUAACAAUUAACUCAUUGGGAUUUGGAGCACCACGAGAGUGGUUCUUUAAAGAGUUACCAUCUCCCAAAUUCUUUACCUAUCACAUCCAUAAACAGUCAACUUAUUAAUCAUGACCUCAUAUCAUAUCAUAACCCUGCAUCUGCAAAAACCCAAGCCUUACUUAUGAUUCAGUACUACACAAAUUGGUUCAAUUAUUUAUUUACUAGCUGACUAAAUGGUAACACAAGAUGAACAUACAAACUUAGUACAUUAGAAACAGGUCCCUAGCCGACUGACAACAAUACGGCAGCUUGUUACAAAAGACAUGGAGAGAGAGAGGGAGACAUAACGGUGGUACAUUUAGAAACUACUCUCACUUGUUCUUUGCACAUGAACCGACGCCCGCUUGGAGUAAGAAAUCAUGAAUGUAUUUAUGUGAAAAUGCCUUGGGUUUGCUGUGUAUCUCUCCUAACUUGGCCGCCUUGGAAAGUGGGUUGGGCCUUUUCGCGGCACGUGUGUAAGGCUCCGAUUGUCCAAAAGGGGUUUCUCUGUUGUUCUCCUCUGGCAUCGUCCAGUAUCCGAUGACUUGUCGUGUAGUCCUUAACAGAACUACAAGUUAUUUCUCCUUCCAUUCAGUCUGGAAGAUGCUUCUUUUAAAGAUAGGCAAGCCAGUUGUGUCGAUGUUUCCCAGUGGGGUGGUGAGGGUAGCGUACUAUGGUGGUUUAAAAAGAGUAGUAGAAUGUUUCCAAUUCAAUUCGCUUUUCUAGAUACUUUAUCCAUCAUUUCAUACAGUUUGUUCUGAUACGCUCUCUGACCUCACUCAAGGAGGCAGUGACUACUUACUUGUACAAAGUUAUAGAAACAAUUUCCUCUUAUAGUUUCUAAAAUCACAUCCCUCUCUUAACAAAAAAAACUUUCAGAAUUUUUCAUAUAGCAUGCACAACGUAGAGGAUGGAAACAUUGUACAUGUAGUAUGUAUAGUUUUCAAAUGACAGUAUUUCCUUUUAUAAUAUUUUUAAUGACAUCACAAAAUAACACACAAUAUGACAUUAGUUUUCUUUAGACCGCUUUUGACCAUUCCCCACGUUCUAUGUUAGAAAUAUUGUUCCAGUAUUCGCUUUAGAAUGUGCUAGCAUUUCAGCUGUAAAAAGCAUGUGACACAAAGGCACAUUCCUCUGGUAAAUUUGGAGAGGGAGAGCGCUGAAUGUUCUGUCCUUGAUUUACGACAGGGUGUGAGGUGUUAACCCCCACCAGUUCCCUCAUCCCCCUCUGCGGUGGAGAGAGGGUCUGGUUGAAGUUAUUCAUUACAAAGCUGAUCUGACUUAUUUGAACACUCACAGGACAGUCAUGACACUUUCAAAAAAUCAUUAGUCACAUCAUGCAUCCUUAGAAUGUAUUACAAAUCAAAACAUAGAGCCUAACGAUUAUCACAACUAAAGUUGCAUAAAUAACUCUAAAUGAAGCAUAUAGGAGGACCUGUUUCUUUGUUCACCGCUCAAUGGAGCCGCAUGUGUGCAGUCCCUUGGAAAUCGUUUGGAGAAAAUAUCCUUUCUAUUUCAUUCAGCUAUGUUCAAAUUAAUUCAUCAUACUAUAAAAUUAUAUAAAAUAAUACCACAGAAUUGUAAGCACACUUUUUCUGCUAAAUAAACUAGUGUAGCCCACAGCCAUAUCAAAUGCAUUUAUAAAGCCCUUUUUACAUCAGCAGAGAUGAGUCUUCAGUAAAGACUCCCAUAUGGAUAGGCAGACCAUUCCAUAAAAAGGGAGCUCUAUGGGAGAAAGCCCUGUCUCCAGCUGUUUGCUUAAAAAUUCUAAGGACAAUAAGGAGGCCUGCGUCUUGUGACCAUAGCAUAUUUGAAGGUAUGUACGGCAGGACCAUAUCGGAGAGAUAUGUAUGUAUGGAGCAAGUCCAUGUAAUGCUUUGUAGGUUAGCACUAAAACCUUGAAGUCAGCUCUAGCCUUAACAGGAAGCCAGUGUAGAGAGGCUAGCACUGGGGUAAUAUGAUACAAUUUUGGGGUUGUAGUCAAGAUUCUAGCAGCUGUAUUUAUCAGUAACUGAAAUAUAUUUAGUGCUUUAUCCGAGUAGCCAGAGAGUAGAGCAUUGCAGUAGUCUAAUCUAGAAGUGACAAAAGUAUGGAUUAGCUUUUCUGCAUCAUUUUUUAACAAAAAGUGCCAGAUUCUAUGCAAUGUUAGGAAGAUGGAGAAAAGCUGCCCUUGAAAAAUUAUUGAUAUGAUUGUCAAAAGAGCUAUCAGGAUCCAGAGUAACACAGAGGUCCUUCACAGUUUUAUUUGAGACAACUGUACAACCUUCAAGAUUAAUUAAAGAACAGUUUGCAGUUCUCCCAGGGUUAGCUCGAUGAUUGUGGAGGCCAGACGACCUGGCCUCCACAAUUACCCGACCUCAACCCAAUUGACAUGGUUUGGGAUGAGUUGGACCGCAGAGUGAAGGAAAAGCAGCCAACAAGUGCUCAGCAUAUGUGGGAACUUCUUCAAGAGUGUUGGAAAAGCAUUCCAGGUGAAGCUGGUUGAGAGAAUGCCUAGAGUGUGCAAAGCUGUCAUCAAGGCAAAGGGUGGCUACUUUGAAGAAUCUCUAAUAUCAAAUAUAUUUGGAUUAGUUUAACACUUUUUUUGCUUGCUACAUGAUUCCAUAUGUGUUAUUUCAUAGUUUUGAUGUCUUCACUAUUAUUCUACAAUGUAGAAAAUAGUAAAAAUAAAGAAAAACCCUUGAGUAGGUGUGUCCACAUUUCUGACUGAAACUGUAUAUUAGCCCUUUCUGAGACUCAUUUAGAUAAUUCAUUUGAUGAUACAGCAGUAGGAAUGCAAGGAUAUAACACCUAUAGAAGAGACAGGAAUGCUUAUGGAGGAGGUGUUGCUGUAUACUGUAUAUCCAGAGCCAUAUUCCCGUAAUGCUUAGAGAAGAGCUUAUGUCAAGUGUUAUUGAAGUGUUGUGGUUGCAGUUUAACCUGGCACAUCUAAAGCAUUUUCUUUUGGUGAGGUGCAAAAAGUCAGUAUCUAAAUAUGUGUGAAAUGCUCGAUAGUGUAUGUGAUGUAAGCAAAGAGGUCUACUUUCUUGGGGACCUGAAUAUUGACUGGUUUUCAUCAAGCUGUCCGCUCAAGAGGACGCUUCUAACUGUAACCAGUGCCUGUAACCUGGUUCAGGUUAUUAAUCAACCUACCAGGGUGUUUACAAACACUACAGGAACAAGAUCAUCCACAUGUACUGAUCACUAAUACUGUAGAACUUUGUUCUAAAGCUGUAUCCGUAUCCAUUGGAUGCAGUGAUCACAAUAUAGUGGCUAUAUCCAGGAAAGCCAAAGUUCCAAAUAGCUGGGCCUAAAAUAAUGUAUAAGAGAACCUACAAAAGAUUUUGAUGUGACUCUUAUGUGGAUGAUUUUAAAAAUAUUUAUUGGAACAUCCAGACUCUGCACUUGAUGCAUUUAUGAAAUUGCUUCUUCCAAUUAUUGAUAAGCAUGCACCUGUUAAGAAACUGACUGUAAGAACUGUUAAGGCCCCAUGGAUUGAUGAGGAAUUGAACAACUAUGGUUGAAAGAGAUGGCGCAAAAGGAGUAGCUAAUAAAUCUGACUGGCUGACUUACUGCAAAGUGAGAAAUUAUGUGACUGAACUCAACAAAAAUAAGAAACUGUAUUAUGAAGCCAAAAUACUUAUUUUCCACCAUAAUUUGCAAAUAAAUUCAUAAAAUUCCUACAA
Oncorhynchus nerka (sockeye salmon) is the source of this 6881-nucleotide long non-coding RNA. RefSeq lists it as uncharacterized. The record is from RefSeq and is a predicted model, not a curated record. The transcript is spliced from 4 exons. Lineage: Eukaryota; Metazoa; Chordata; Actinopteri; Salmoniformes; Salmonidae.